Apis cerana (Asiatic honeybee) is the source of this 2049-nucleotide long non-coding RNA. RefSeq lists it as uncharacterized. Lineage: Eukaryota; Metazoa; Arthropoda; Insecta; Hymenoptera; Apidae. The record is from RefSeq and is a predicted model, not a curated record.
AGUCAGAGCGAAACAGGCUACGCGCGAGCAGCGGUGAUAAAGUGGGCACGGAGAAGCGACGAGGGAAGCGUAAAAGUGGUGCCACCAUCCUCCCACGCUCACUUACCCGCGUGCAUGUGUUCCACGGUGGAGGAGGAGCGCAUCACGUACACCUAUACAUUAUCUAGCACCCAUUUUGGUGGCAUCAUGACUUGGUUUGCCCGAGUUUACGGGGCUGCUCCAUCACGCGAGUGCUUAGCUUAUCUCAAUGCGACACAACGUAUCUGAGGCUCCCGUCUCCCCGAGAGAAACCAGCGACAGGUGGCAGCCAUGCCAACGGUCAUACGAUCUAUUGGGUUUAGAAAAUUCAAGACCAACCCGACCAUUUAUUCGAUUGUCUCGAGAGGAACACGCAACGGUGAUCGUCGUUCUACGCCGACAUUCGAUAUUACGCCAUCGAAAAUUAAUUCAAUAAUUUCGUACCGAUUACGUCACCGACCUUUCUCUCAAGAUACGCAUAGGAAGAAUUUUUCUCAAGUUUCAUCGCAGUGCGAAUCAGCGAAUUGAUUAAUCGAAGGGUAUAAUGUGGUGGUAUGAAUAGAAAUUUGUCACUUGCCGUCUUUUUCCUCGAUUCCUCUUCCCCGAUUUCGUUAUCGAGCUCGGAGGGGAGAGAUCAUCCAUUGAGGGGGACAAAAGGAUAAAAGGGAGUGCGAUUGUGCUGGGUAAUUUAACGAAGUGUCGGGUGAGAUGGUGGGAUUCGUUGAUCGAGGAAUUGCGAUGCGUGGCCACCGUAAUGAAAGGAGGGAUAGUGAGGGGACAGAAAGAUGUUUCUCCUGAAACGGAAAGCGAAUGAGAAUCAUAUAUUCGAUGAAUCAUAGGAAGAAAAUACGGCAAAUCCUGUUCAAAUUCGAGGAAACGUUUCGCGAGGAUCGGUAACGGAGCUAGAUACGUGGGAACGACCAUCGACGAGUCGAGUCUAGUUGGGUAACCCUCUCGUCCCCCUUCGACGAAGAAAACAAAACGACUUGGGUGAAAGAAGGUACGUGGAUGCUUGCGAGGGCACGGAGGUGGAGAUGAUACUAGACGAGGAGACAGGGAGGGUGAACGUGGAGGAGCUGAACACCCUGGGGAGCCGGCAGCUCGUUACGCGAGACGUGGUACGCCUCUCCUUUCCUCCCUUCUGUACACCCUCUUCCCUCUCCCCCCUCUUCCGCCGCUCUAUUCUCCUUUUCUCUCCGCUCCCUUCCCCGUGAUUCUCUCCUCAAACCUUGAUCCUUUUGCACAUCUAUCUCUACGCUCCUCCCUCGCCCCACGUUUUCAAGGUAGCGCCACUCUGAAUAAUGUCCCACGUACACGUUUGUGUCUUCCCUCUCUCUAUAUAUACGCACGUAUCGCUACUCAGUAACAAGUGGAUAUUAUGCUGGCGCGGCUGACGCUGCCUCCCUGAACUUUGCUUUGAAGCAAGGGAUACCGAUGAGAAGAUACGGAAGGUACAGCUUGUUCGAAUUGGUUUCCAAGAGCUUCCAAUUGCGCGUACAAUCUCUCUUCUGAUUGAUUAUCGUUCAUCAUAUAAUACGUCAAGUAGAGUUUACACGUGGUAUAAAAAUUUUGUGGAGUUUCAAGUAUGGUCGUAUGGAAAAAAUUCUCGAGGCUGAAUGAACGAAUGUCUUUAUGAAAGUUAGGGCAUAGAGUUACAUAGAUGUUUCAAACUUCUUCCACGUGAUAAACAAUCCGAAUGCAAAAGUUUAUCGAACAAAGAGGAACGAUAACAAUUUGAGAGAUAUUUCACCCUUAACAUUUCCCUCCUCCUCCUCCUCCUUCCCAUCAACAUUAAUUUACUACCAGUUUAUCCUGAAACUUGUUGUGUACUGUCUUUACGUUUCAGAAUAAGUUAACCGUUCGUUGUCAGAACUUUUCGCAUAAGCGUAAUCAAGUUGCGUUUCGAAACGAGAUAAAUCCACGCAGCUUGUAACGAUCAAUUAAAUAAUUUCAAUUAUUAUAAAUCAAUCAUACUUUAUCGAUGUCCGACCUAUCCGUAUAAAUUAUUAAAUUCUUUAUCGAAUGCGUAAA